CUACUCUUUUUUUUUUUUUUUUGGUAUUUUGUUAAAGGGUUUCCAGACGGAGGAUGAGAGAAGGGCGGGCAGGCAGGCAGGUGGUGUUGGCUGCAAGUUGCAAAAGGUGAAUUGUAUAUUACAAGACAACUAAAAAAGCUGAAAAAUUAGGUGCAACAAUUUAAAUGAAAAAAAUAGAAAAAAUAAUUAACUGUCAAUUUGUUCUGUUCAUAUGUA
This 216-nucleotide unclassified non-coding RNA is filed under the name Hevea brasiliensis (rubber tree). The record is from RNAcentral. Lineage: Eukaryota; Viridiplantae; Streptophyta; Magnoliopsida; Malpighiales; Euphorbiaceae.